Molecule: ribosomal RNA, 503 nt
Filed under: Bacillus subtilis
Lineage: Bacteria; Bacillati; Bacillota; Bacilli; Caryophanales; Bacillaceae
Description: bacterial SSU rRNA
Rfam family: Bacterial small subunit ribosomal RNA
Source: RNAcentral
GCGUGAGUGAUGAAGGUUUUCGGAUCGUAAAGCUCUGUUGUUAGGGAAGAACAAGUACCGUUCGAAUAGGGCGGUACCUUGACGGUACCUAACCAGAAAGCCACGGCUAACUACGUGCCAGCAGCCGCGGUAAUACGUAGGUGGCAAGCGUUGUCCGGAAUUAUUGGGCGUAAAGGGCUCGCAGGCGGUUUCUUAAGUCUGAUGUGAAAGCCCCCGGCUCAACCGGGGAGGGUCAUUGGAAACUGGGGAACUUGAGUGCAGAAGAGGAGAGUGGAAUUCCACGUGUAGCGGUGAAAUGCGUAGAGAUGUGGAGGAACACCAGUGGCGAAGGCGACUCUCUGGUCUGUAACUGACGCUGAGGAGCGAAAGCGUGGGGAGCGAACAGGAUUAGAUACCCUGGUAGUCCACGCCGUAAACGAUGAGUGCUAAGUGUUAGGGGGUUUCCGCCCCUUAGUGCUGCAGCUAACGCAUUAAGCACUCCGCCUGGGGAGUACGGUCGCAAG